UACGUAGGGGGCUAGCGUUGUCCGGAUUUAUUGGGCGUAAAGAGCGUGUAGGCGGCCAGGUAGGUCUGCUGUGAAAACUCGAGGCUCAACCUCGAGAUGUCGGCGGAAACCAUCUGGCUAGAGUCCGGAAGAGGAAGGUGGAAUUCCUGGUGUAGCGGUGAAAUGCGCAGAUAUCAGGAAGAACACGCGUGGCGAAGGCGGUUCUCUGGGACGGUACCGACGCUGAGACGCGAAAGCGUGGGGAGCGAACAGG
Molecule: ribosomal RNA, 253 nt
Filed under: uncultured bacterium
Lineage: Bacteria
Description: partial 16S ribosomal RNA
Rfam family: Bacterial small subunit ribosomal RNA
Source: RNAcentral